This 428-nucleotide ribosomal RNA is filed under the name uncultured bacterium. RNAcentral describes it as "partial 16S ribosomal RNA". It matches the Rfam family "Bacterial small subunit ribosomal RNA", at positions 354 to 796 of the family's 1533-position model. The record is from RNAcentral.
GUGGGGAAUAUUGGGCAAUGGGGGAAACCCUGACCCAGCAACGCCGCGUGAGGGAAGAAGGUUUUCGGAUUGUAAACCUCUGUCCUUGGUGACGAAGGAAGUGACGGUAACCAAGGAGGAAGCCCCGGCUAACUACGUGCCAGCAGCCGCGGUAAUACGUAGGGGGCAAGCGUUGUCCGGAAUGACUGGGCGUAAAGGGCGUGUAGGCGGCCGAUUAAGUCUGGAGUGAAAGUCCUGCUUUCAAGGUGGGAAUUGCUUUGGAGACUGGUUGGCUUGAGUGCGGAGGAGGUAAGUGGAAUUCCCAGUGUAGCGGUGAAAUGCGUAGAGAUUGGGAGGAACACCAGUGGCGAAGGCGACUUACUGGGCCGUAACUGACGCUGAGGCGCGAAAGCGUGGGGAGCGAACAGGAUUAGAAACCCGUGUAGUCC